GUGGGGAAUCUUAGACAAUGGGGGAAACCCUGAUCUAGCCAUGCCGCGUGAGCGAUGAAGGCCUUAGGGUUGUAAAGCUCUUUCAGCUGGGAAGAUAAUGACGGUACCAGCAGAAGAAGCCCCGGCUAACUCCGUGCCAGCAGCCGCGGUAAUACGGAGGGGGCUAGCGUUGUUCGGAAUUACUGGGCGUAAAGCGCGCGUAGGCGGACCAGAAAGUUGGAGGUGAAAUCCCAGGGCUCAACCUCGGAACUGCCUUCAAAACUCCCAGUCUUGAGUUCGAGAGAGGUGAGUGGAAUUCCGAGUGUAGAGGUGAAAUUCGUAGAUAUUCGGAGGAACACCAGUGGCGAAGGCGACUCACUGGCCCGUUACUGACGCUGAGGCGCGAAAGCGUGGGGAGCAAACAGGAUUAGAAACCCGAGUAGUCC
This 425-nucleotide ribosomal RNA is filed under the name uncultured bacterium. Its description in RNAcentral is "partial 16S ribosomal RNA". It matches the Rfam family "Bacterial small subunit ribosomal RNA", at positions 354 to 796 of the family's 1533-position model. The record is from RNAcentral.